Small nucleolar RNA from Hippopotamus amphibius kiboko, 117 nucleotides. RefSeq annotates it as small nucleolar RNA SNORA61. The record is from RefSeq and is a predicted model, not a curated record. NCBI's taxonomy places the organism in Eukaryota, Metazoa, Chordata, Mammalia, Artiodactyla, Hippopotamidae. The transcript has a single exon.
ACUCUCCAGUUCCCUUUCCCAUUGGAUCUGAACCCUGGUUUCAGUGGUCGUAAAAGGAGGAAUAGUAGUACUGGAGCUGUGUCUGCUAUAUAGCGUGUGGGCUAGUUUCAAACAAUG